GAUGAACGCUGGCGGCGUGCCUAAUACAUGCAAGUCGAGCGAACAGACGAGGAGCUUGCUCCUCUGACGUUAGCGGCGGACGGGUGAGUAACACGUGGAUAACCUACCUAUAAGACUGGGAUAACUUCGGGAAACCGGAGCUAAUACCGGAUAAUAUAUUGAACCGCAUGGUUCAAUAGUGAAAGACGGUUUUGCUGUCACUUAUAGAUGGAUCCGCGCCGCAUUAGCUAGUUGGUAAGGUAACGGCUUACCAAGGCGACGAUGCGUAGCCGACCUGAGAGGGUGAUAGGCCACACUGGAACUGAGACACGGUCCAGACUCCUACGGGAGGCAGCAGUAGGGAAUCUUCCGCAAUGGGCGAAAGCCUGACAGAGCAACGCCGCGUGAGUGAUGAAGGUCUUCGGAUCGUAAAACUCUGUUAUUAGGGAAGAACAAAUGUGUAAGUAACUAUGCACGUCUUGACGGUACCUAAUCAGAAAGCCACGGCUAACUACGUG
Molecule: ribosomal RNA, 497 nt
Filed under: uncultured bacterium
Lineage: Bacteria
Description: partial 16S ribosomal RNA
Rfam family: Bacterial small subunit ribosomal RNA
Source: RNAcentral